This 76-nucleotide transfer RNA is filed under the name bacterium. RNAcentral's name for it is "tRNA-Thr". It matches the Rfam family "tRNA". From Rfam's summary of the family: Transfer RNA (tRNA) molecules are approximately 80 nucleotides in length. Their secondary structure includes four short double-helical elements and three loops (D, anti-codon, and T loops). Further hydrogen bonds mediate the characteristic L-shaped molecular structure. tRNAs have two regions of fundamental functional importance: the anti-codon, which is responsible for specific mRNA codon recognition, and the 3' end, to which the tRNAs corresponding amino acid is attached (by aminoacyl-tRNA synthetases). tRNAs cope with the degeneracy of the genetic code in two manners: having more than one tRNA (with a specific anti-codon) for a particular amino acid; and 'wobble' base-pairing, i.e. permitting non-standard base-pairing at the 3rd anti-codon position. The record is from RNAcentral.
GCCACCUUAGCUCAGCUGGUAGAGCAGGGCUUUCGUAAAGCCAAGGUCCCCGGUUCGAGUCCGGGAGGUGGCUCCA